Molecule: ribosomal RNA, 428 nt
Filed under: uncultured bacterium
Lineage: Bacteria
Description: partial 16S ribosomal RNA
Rfam family: Bacterial small subunit ribosomal RNA
Source: RNAcentral
GUGGGGAAUAUUGGGCAAUGGGGGCAACCCUGACCCAGCAACGCCGCGUGAGGGAAGAAGGUUUUCGGAUUGUAAACCUCUGUCCUAUGGGAAGAAGGAAGUGACGGUACCAUAGGAGGAAGCCCCGGCUAACUACGUGCCAGCAGCCGCGGUAAUACGUAGGGGGCGAGCGUUGUCCGGAAUUACUGGGCGUAAAGGGUGCGCAGGUGGCCUGACAAGUCAGAUGUGAAAUACCGAUGCUUAACGUCGGGGCUGCAUUUGAAACUAUGAGGCUGGAGUGCAGGAGAGGGAAGCGGAAUUCCUAGUGUAGCGGUGAAAUGCAUAGAUAUUAGGAGGAACCCCAGUGGCGAAGGCGGCUUUCUGGACUGUAACUGACACUGAGGCACGAAAGCGUGGGGAGCAAACAGGAUUAGAAACCCGAGUAGUCC